UACGUAGGGCGCAAGCGUUGUCCGGAAUUAUUGGGCGUAAAGAGCUCGUAGGCGGCCUGUUGCGUCCGCUGUGAAAUCCCGGGGCUUAACCCCGGGCGUGCAGUGGAUACGGGCAGGCUGGAGGCAGGCAGGGGAGAACGGAAUUCCCGGUGUAGCGGUGAAAUGCGCAGAUAUCGGGAGGUACACCGGUGGCGAAGGCGGUUCUCUGGGCCUGUACUGACGCUGAGGAGCGAAAGCGUGGGGAGCGAACAGG
This 253-nucleotide ribosomal RNA is filed under the name uncultured bacterium. RNAcentral's name for it is "partial 16S ribosomal RNA". It matches the Rfam family "Bacterial small subunit ribosomal RNA", at positions 524 to 776 of the family's 1533-position model. The record is from RNAcentral.